UAGACACAUAGACCAAUAGACUGAGGAGAGUUCAUGGUCUCCAGGCUCCAAAGGCGGACGGAUGGAGUGCCAAUCCUUAUCUCCUCGGACGUCCACAGUGCUAUCCUCCGUGAUGCACCGUUAGAAAGCGCAAAACAUUUAAAACUUCUCGUGCACGCAACCACCACCAAAUCACGCGUGGACGCCAUGACUACUGGCUUUGCGAAUGGCGAUAGUUUUCGGAAAACUCGAGGAGAAGUAUCCACGGACCC
RNAcentral lists this long non-coding RNA (251 nucleotides) under Elaeis guineensis (African oil palm). Its description in RNAcentral is "long non-coding RNA (EGUI_LNC082446)". Lineage: Eukaryota; Viridiplantae; Streptophyta; Magnoliopsida; Arecales; Arecaceae. The record is from RNAcentral.